GCCCUUGUAGCCUAAUGGAAAGGCGGCGGUCUUCUAAGCCGCUAUAUGUAGGUUCGAUUCCUACCAAGGGUG
This 72-nucleotide transfer RNA is filed under the name Bacteroidota bacterium. Its description in RNAcentral is "Bacteroidetes bacterium (freshwater metagenome) tRNA-Arg". It matches the Rfam family "tRNA". From Rfam's summary of the family: Transfer RNA (tRNA) molecules are approximately 80 nucleotides in length. Their secondary structure includes four short double-helical elements and three loops (D, anti-codon, and T loops). Lineage: Bacteria; Pseudomonadati; Bacteroidota. The record is from RNAcentral.